RNAcentral lists this non-coding RNA (632 nucleotides) under Zea mays. Its description in RNAcentral is "Eukaryotic large subunit ribosomal RNA". It matches the Rfam family "Eukaryotic large subunit ribosomal RNA", at positions 24 to 664 of the family's 3401-position model. Lineage: Eukaryota; Viridiplantae; Streptophyta; Magnoliopsida; Poales; Poaceae. The record is from Rfam by way of RNAcentral.
CCCGCUGAGUUUAAGCAUAUAAAUAAGCGGAGGAGAAGAAACUUACGAGGAUUCCCCUAGUAACGGCGAGCGAACCGGGAGCAGCCCAUCUUGAGAAUCGGGCGGCCUAGCCGCCCGAAUUGUAGUCUGGAGAGGCGUCCUCAGCGACGGACCGGGCCCAAGUUCUCUGGAAAGGGACACCUGGGAGGGUGAGAGCCCCGCACGGCCCGGACCCUGUCGCACCACGAGGCGCCGUCAACGAGUCGGGUUGUUUGGGAAUGCAGCCCAAAUCGGGCGGUAAACUCCGUCCAAGGCUAAAUACAGGCGAGAGACCGAUAGCGAACAAGUACCGCGAGGGAAAGAUGAAAAGGACUUUGAAAAGAGAGUCAAAGAGUGCUUGAAAUUGCCGGGAGGGAAGCGGAUGGGGGCUGGCGACGCGCACCGGCCGUAUGCGGAACGACUCCUGCUGGUCCGCCGAUCGGCUCGGGGCGUGGACCGUUGUCGCCCGCGACGGCGGCCAAAGCCCGGGGGCCCUAGGCGCCCUCGGCAGCCGUCGUCGGCACGGACGGUAUCCGCGCGCCUCUGGCGCGCCCCUCGGGGCGCUGCGCCGCAACGGCCUGCGAGCUCCCCAUCCGACCCAUCUUGAAACAUGG